RNAcentral lists this ribosomal RNA (253 nucleotides) under uncultured bacterium. Its description in RNAcentral is "partial 16S ribosomal RNA". It matches the Rfam family "Bacterial small subunit ribosomal RNA", at positions 524 to 776 of the family's 1533-position model. The record is from RNAcentral.
UACAGAGGGUGCAAGCGUUAAUCGGAAUCACUGGGCGUAAAGGGUGCGUAGGCGGGUCUUUAAGUCAGGGGUGAAAUCCUGGAGCUCAACUCCAGAACUGCCUUUGAUACUGAAGAUCUUGAGUUCGGGAGAGGUGAGUGGAACUGCGAGUGUAGAGGUGAAAUUCGUAGAUAUUCGCAAGAACACCAGUGGCGAAGGCGGCUCACUGGCCCGAUACUGACGCUGAUGCACGAAAGCGUGGGGAGCAAACAGG